AGGGCGCACGGUGGAUGCCUUGGCAUUAAGAGCCGAAGAAGGACGUGACUAACGACGAUAUUCUAGGGGGAGCAGUAAGUACGCAUUGAUCCCUAGGUCUCCGAAUGGGGAAACCCACUAUGUUAUGCAUAGUAUCCGUAAGUGAAUACAUAGCUUACGCGAAGGUAACGCAGAGAACUGAAAACAUCUAAGUACCAGCAGGAAGAGAAAGUAAAAACGAUUUCCUAAGUAGCGGCGAGCGAACGGGAAACAGGCCAAACCAAGAAGCUUGCUUCUUGGGGUUGUAGGACUGCAACGUGGACUUAAAGUCUAUAGAAGAAUUACCUGGGAAGGUAAGCCAAAGAGAGUAAUAGCCUCGUAUUUGAAAUAGACUUUAUACCUAGCAGUAUCCUGAGUAGGGCUGGACACGCGAAAUCCAGUUUGAAUCCGGGAGGACCAUCUCCCAAGCCUAAAUACUCCUUAAUGACCGAUAGUGAACCAGUACCGUGAGGGAAAGGUGAAAAGAACCCCGGGAGGGGAGUGAAAUAGCACCUGAAACCGUGUGCCUACAAGAAGUUCGAGCCCGUCAAUGGGUGAGAGCGUGCCUUUUGUAGAAUGAACCGGCGAGUUACGUUAUGAUGCGAGGUUAAGCUGAAGAGGCGGAGCCGUAGCGAAAGCGAGUCUGAAUAGGGCGCUUUAGUAUCAUGAUGUAGACCCGAAACCUAGUGACCUAUCCAUGAGCAGGUUGAAGGUGCGGUAAGACGCACUGGAGGACCGAACCAGGACACGUUGAAAAGUGUUUGGAUGACUUGUGGAUAGCGGAGAAAUUCCAAACGAACUGGGAGAUAGCUGGUUCUCUCCGAAAUAGCUUUAGGGCUAGCGUCGCAAUUUAAGUGUAUUGGAGGUAGAGCACUGUUUGGAUGAGGGGCCCAUCUCGGGUUACCAAUUUCAGAUAAACUCCGAAUGCUAAUACACAUGUGCGGCAGUCAGACUGCGAGUGCUAAGAUCCGUAGUCGAAAGGGAAACAGCCCAGACCACCAGCUAAGGUCCCAAAAUAUAUGUUAAGUGGAAAAGGAUGUGGGGUUGCACAGACAACUAGGAUGUUAGCUCAGAAGCAGCUAUCAUUCAAAGAGUGCGUAAUAGCUCACUAGUCGAGUGACCCUGCGCCGAAAAUGUACCGGGGCUAAACAUAUUACCGAAGCUGUGGAUUUAAUAUUAAUUAAAUGGUAGGAGAGCGUUGUAAUCAGCGAUGAAGGUAUACCGUGAGGGGUGCUGGAGCGAUUACAAGUGAGAAUGCCGGUAUGAGUAGCGCAAGAUAAGUGAGAAUCUUAUCCACCGUAAGACUAAGGUUUCCAGGGGAAGGCUCGUCCGCCCUGGGUUAGUCGGGACCUAAGGCGAGGCCGAAAGGCGUAGUCGAUGGACAACAGGUUGAUAUUCCUGUACUAGUAUUGUUAGUGAUGGAGGGACGCAGUAGGCUAAAGGGAGCCAGUUAAUGGAUUCUGGUCUAAGCAGUGAGGUGUGGAAUGUGUCAAAUGCAUUUUCCUUUAACAUUGAGCUGUGAUGGGGAAGCAACUACGGUUGCGAAGCCCUUGAUGUCACACUGCCAAGAAAAUCUUCUAGCGUUUAAUUCAAUACUACCCGUACCGCAAACCGACACAGGUAGUCGAGGCGAGUAGCCUCAGGUGAUCGAGAGAACUCUCGUUAAGGAACUCGGCAAAAUGACCCCGUAACUUCGGGAGAAGGGGUGCUGUAGAAAUACAGCCGCAGUGAAAAGAUCCAAGCAACUGUUUAUCAAAAACACAGCUCUCUGCUAAACCGCAAGGUGAUGUAUAGGGGGUGACGCCUGCCCGGUGCUGGAAGGUUAAGAGGAGGGGUUAGACAUUAGUCGAAGCUCUGAAUUGAAGCCCCAGUAAACGGCGGCCGUAACUAUAACGGUCCUAAGGUAGCGAAAUUCCUUGUCGGGUAAGUUCCGACCCGCACGAAAGGCGUAAUGAUUUGGAUACUGUCUCAACGAGAGACUCGGUGAAAUUUUAGUACCUGUGAAGAUGCAGGUUACCCGCGACAGGACGGAAAGACCCCAUGGAGCUUUACUGCAGAUUGAUAUUGAGUACCUGUGAAGCAUGUACAGGAUAGGUAGGAGACUUUGACCUUGGGACGCUAGUUUCAAGUGAGUCGCUGUUGGGAUACUACCCUUGCUUCAUGGUUGCUCUAACCCACACGCAUAAUCGGCGUGGGAGACAGUGUCUGUCGGGCAGUUUGACUGGGGCGGUCGCCUCCUAAAGAGUAACGGAGGCGCCCAAAGGUUCCCUCAACAUGGUUGGAAAUCAUGUGUAGAGUGUAAAGGUAUAAGGGAGCUUGACUGCGAGAGCUACAACUCGAGCAGGUAGGAAACUAGGGCUUAGUGAUCCGGUGGUACCGCAUGGAAGGGCCAUCGCUCAACGGAUAAAAGCUACCCUGGGGAUAACAGGCUUAUCUCCCCCAAGAGUUCACAUCGACGGGGAGGUUUGGCACCUCGAUGUCGGCUCGUCGCAUCCUGGGGCUGUAGUCGGUCCCAAGGGUUGGGCUGUUCGCCCAUUAAAGCGGCACGCGAGCUGGGUUCAGAACGUCGUGAGACAGUUCGGUCCCUAUCCGUCGCGGGCGUAGGAAAUUUGAGAGGAUCUGCCCUUAGUACGAGAGGACCGGGGUGGACUUACCGCUGGUGUACCAGUUGUUCCGCCAGGAGCACCGCUGGGUAGCUAUGUAGGGAAGGGAUAAGCGCUGAAAGCAUCUAAGUGCGAAGCCCACCUCAAGAUGAGAUUUCCCAUUCU
This 2786-nucleotide ribosomal RNA is filed under the name Lactococcus garvieae UNIUD074. RNAcentral's name for it is "bacterial LSU rRNA". It matches the Rfam family "Bacterial large subunit ribosomal RNA". The record is from RNAcentral. Lineage: Bacteria; Bacillati; Bacillota; Bacilli; Lactobacillales; Streptococcaceae.